UUCGUUCUUCUGUUGUUCUUCAUGGGGGCUUUAGAGGAGUUCUGUUGAAUCCUCAAUUGUUGCGAGUUAGGCUGACUUAGGCGUUUUUUAGCGAAGAAACUGCCUAAGGCCGCACGGAUUGCUUGUAAAAACUCCAAGUCUGUGACACUAGUGCAUGAAGGAGGCAGAAGAAAAAGAAGGAAAGGCAAGGGAGGAAGAAAU
This 201-nucleotide long non-coding RNA is filed under the name Gossypium barbadense (sea-island cotton). RNAcentral describes it as "long non-coding RNA (GBAR_LNC001301)". The record is from RNAcentral. Lineage: Eukaryota; Viridiplantae; Streptophyta; Magnoliopsida; Malvales; Malvaceae.